UACGAAGGGUGCAAGCGUUGUUCGGAUUUAUUGGGCGUAAAGCGCGCGCAGGCGGAUCAGCAAGUCAGAUGUGAAAUCUCGGAGCUCAACUCCGAAACUGCGUCUGAAACUACUAGUCUAGAAUAUCGGAGGGGGCAGGGGAAUUUCACGUGUAGGGGUAAAAUCCGUAGAGAUGUGAAGGAACACCAGGGGCGAAGGCGCCUGCCUGGACGAUUAUUGACGCUGAGGCGCGAAAGCGUGGGGAGCAAACAGG
Molecule: ribosomal RNA, 253 nt
Filed under: uncultured bacterium
Lineage: Bacteria
Description: partial 16S ribosomal RNA
Rfam family: Bacterial small subunit ribosomal RNA
Source: RNAcentral